RNAcentral lists this ribosomal RNA (445 nucleotides) under uncultured bacterium. RNAcentral's name for it is "partial 16S ribosomal RNA". It matches the Rfam family "Bacterial small subunit ribosomal RNA", at positions 354 to 796 of the family's 1533-position model. The record is from RNAcentral.
GUAGGGAAUAUUGGGCAAUGGAUGCAAGUCUGACCCAGCCAUCCCGCGUGCCGGAAGAAGGCCCUCAGGGUUGUAAACGGCUUUUGACGGUGAAGAAUCGACAGGAUGCGUCCUGUUUUGACGGUAGCCGUUGAAUAAGCACCGGCUAACUCCGUGCCAGCAGCCGCGGUAAUACGGAGGGUGCGAGCGUUGUCCGGAUUUAUUGGGUUUAAAGGGUGCGUAGGCUGGAAGGUCAGUCAGCGGUGAAAAGCUGUCGCUUAACGAUAGUCUUGCCGCAGAUACUUCCUUUCUUGGAUGAGGAUGAGGCCACUGGAACGGAUGGUGUAGCGGUGAAAUGCAUAGAUAUCAUCCAGAACACCGAUUGCGAAGGCAGGUGGCUGUACCUUAAUCGACGCUGAUGCACGAAAGCAUGGGGAGCAAACAGGAUUAGAAACCCCUGUAGUCC